GAUGAACGCUGGCGGCGUGCCUAAUACAUGCGAGUCGAGCGAACGGACGAGAAGCUUGCUUCUCUGAUGUUAUCGGCGGACGGGUGAGUAACACGUGGAUAACCUACCUAUAAGACUGGGAUAACUUCGGGAAACCGGAGCUAAUACCGGAUGAUAUUUUGAACCGCAUGGUUCAAAAGUGAAAGACGGUCUUGCUGUCACUUAUAGAUGGAUCCGCGCUGCAUUAGCUAGUUGGUAAGGUAACGGCUUACCAAGGCAACGAUGCAUAGCCGACCUGAGAGGGUGAUCGGCCACACUGGAACUGAGACACGGUCCAGACUCCUACGGGAGGCAGCAGUAGGGAAUCUUCCGCAAUGGGCGAAAGCCUGACGGAGCAACGCCGCGUGAGUGAUGAAGGUCUUCGGAUCGUAAAACUCUGUUAUUAGGGAAGAACAUAUGUGUAAGUAACUGUGCACAUCUUGACGGUACCUAAUCAGAAAGCCACGGCUAACUACGUG
RNAcentral lists this ribosomal RNA (497 nucleotides) under uncultured bacterium. RNAcentral describes it as "partial 16S ribosomal RNA". It matches the Rfam family "Bacterial small subunit ribosomal RNA", at positions 28 to 507 of the family's 1533-position model. The record is from RNAcentral.